Molecule: ribosomal RNA, 415 nt
Filed under: Phortioeca phoraspoides
Lineage: Eukaryota; Metazoa; Arthropoda; Insecta; Blattodea; Blaberidae
Description: partial 16S ribosomal RNA
Source: RNAcentral
UUACGCUGUUAUCCCUAAGGGUAAUUUAGUCUUCUAAUCAAUAAUAAUGGAUCAAUAUUAAAUUAAUUUAUUCACAAAAUAUUAAAAGAGUUAAUUAUAUGUUUUUAUCACCCCAAUCAAAUAUAAAAAUAAAUUAAUAUAAUUACAAACUAAUCAAAUUUAUCUUAAUAUAAAAUUCUAUAGGGUCUUCUCGUCCCAAAAAAAAAUUUAAGUUUUUCAACUUAAUAAUUAAAUUCUAAUUAAUUCAAAUUAAGACAGUUAUUAUCUCGUCCAACCAUUCAUUCCAGCUUCUAAUUAAAGAAACUAAUGAUUAUGCUACCUUUGCACGGUCAUAAUACCGCGGCCCAUUAAAAUUAUUAUUGGGCAGGUUAUAUCUCCUAAAUUUACAAGAAAAGAUGUUUUUGUUAAACAGGCG